This 484-nucleotide ribosomal RNA is filed under the name uncultured bacterium. RNAcentral describes it as "partial 16S ribosomal RNA". It matches the Rfam family "Bacterial small subunit ribosomal RNA", at positions 30 to 507 of the family's 1533-position model. The record is from RNAcentral.
AUUGAACGCUGGCGGCAGGCCUAACACAUGCAAGUCGAGCGGAUGAAGGGAGCUUGCUCCUGGAUUCAGAGGCGGACGGGUGAGUAAUGCCUAUGAAUCUGCCUGGUAGUGGGGGGUAACGUCUUCAAACGGGCGCUAAUACUGCAUACUACGUGAGGGGGAAGGUGGGGGAGCUUCGGACCUCAUGCUAUCAGAUGAGCCUAGGUGGGAUUAGCUAGUUGGUGGGGUAAAGGCCUACUAAGCCGACGAUCCGUAACUGGUCUGUGUGAAUGAUCAGUCACACUGGAACGGAGACACGGACCAGGCGCCUGCGGGAGGGAGCAGUGGGGAACAGUGGACAAUAGUCGAGAGCCUUAUCCAGCGAGGCCGCGUGUGUGAAGAAGGUCUUCGGAGUGUAAAGCACUUUAAGUGGUGAGGAAGGGCAGUAAGUUAAGACCUUGCGGGAUUGACGGUACCAACAGAAGAAGCACCGGCUAACUACGUG